This 255-nucleotide ribosomal RNA is filed under the name uncultured bacterium. RNAcentral's name for it is "partial 16S ribosomal RNA". It matches the Rfam family "Bacterial small subunit ribosomal RNA", at positions 524 to 776 of the family's 1533-position model. The record is from RNAcentral.
UACAGAGGUCUCAAGCGUUGUUCGGAUUCAUUGGGCGUAAAGGGUGCGUAGGUGGCGGGGUAAGUCAGGUGUGAAAUUUCGGAGCUUAACUCCGAAACUGCAUUUGAUACUGCCUUGCUUGAGGACUGGAGAGGAGACUGGAAUUCACGGUGUAGCAGUGAAAUGCGUAGAGAUCGUGAGGAAGACCAGUGGCGAAGGCGGGUCGUCUGGACGAGUUCCUGACACUGAGGCACGAAGGCCAGGGGAGCAAACGGG